AUGUGGGCCAUCGGCCCACACGAUAUUAACUCUAUUUUUUAAGGGAGAAAGCCCGUUAAGAUAGCCUUGCUAUCUGGGCUUUCAUGAGUCGCCCAUGCGUUGCACUACUGCACAGGGCCUGGCUCAACCCG
Molecule: small nuclear RNA, 131 nt
Filed under: Arabidopsis thaliana (thale cress)
Lineage: Eukaryota; Viridiplantae; Streptophyta; Magnoliopsida; Brassicales; Brassicaceae
Description: partial putative U2 small nuclear RNA
Rfam family: U2 spliceosomal RNA
About the family: U2 is a small nuclear RNA (snRNA) component of the spliceosome (involved in pre-mRNA splicing). Complementary binding between U2 snRNA (in an area lying towards the 5' end but 3' to hairpin I) and the branchpoint sequence (BPS) of the intron results the bulging out of an unpaired adenosine, on the BPS, which initiates a nucleophilic attack at the intronic 5' splice site, thus starting the first of two transesterification reactions that mediate splicing.
Source: RNAcentral